GGCAACGAUACGUAGCCGACCUGAGAGGGUGAUCGGCCACACUGGAACUGAGACACGGUCCAGACUCCUACGGGAGGCAGCAGUAGGGAAUCUUCCGCAAUGGGCGAAAGCCUGACGGAGCAACGCCGCGUGAGUGAUGAAGGUCUUCGGAUCGUAAAACUCUGUUAUUAGGGAAGAACAAAUGUGUAAGUAACUGUGCACGUCUUGACGGUACCUAAUCAGAAAGCCACGGCUAACUACGUGCCAGCAGCCGCGGUAAUACGUAGGUGGCAAGCGUUAUCCGGAAUUAUUGGGCGUAAAGCGCGCGUAGGCGGUUUCUUAAGUCUGAUGUGAAAGCCCACGGCUCAACCGUGGAGGGUCAUUGGAAACUGGGAAACUUGAGUGCAGAAGAGGAAAGUGGAAUUCCAUGUGUAGCGGUGA
RNAcentral lists this ribosomal RNA (420 nucleotides) under Staphylococcus sp. 41B(2010). Its description in RNAcentral is "bacterial SSU rRNA". It matches the Rfam family "Bacterial small subunit ribosomal RNA", at positions 272 to 684 of the family's 1533-position model. The record is from RNAcentral. Lineage: Bacteria; Bacillati; Bacillota; Bacilli; Caryophanales; Staphylococcaceae.